This 254-nucleotide ribosomal RNA is filed under the name uncultured bacterium. RNAcentral's name for it is "partial 16S ribosomal RNA". It matches the Rfam family "Bacterial small subunit ribosomal RNA", at positions 524 to 776 of the family's 1533-position model. The record is from RNAcentral.
UACGGAGGGGGGCUAGCGUUGUUCGGAAUUACUGGGCGUAAAGCGCACGUAGGCGGCUUUGUAAGUUAGAGGUGAAAGCCCAGGGCUCAACCCUGGAAUUGCCUUUAAGACUGCAUCGCUAGAAUUGUGGAGAGGUAAGUGGAAUUCCGAGUGUAGAGGUGAAAUUCGUAGAUAUUCGGAAGAACACCAGUGGCGAAGGCGACUUACUGGACACAUAUUGACGCUGAGGUGCGAAAGCGUGGGGAGCAAACAGG